RNAcentral lists this ribozyme (116 nucleotides) under Aedes aegypti (yellow fever mosquito). Its description in RNAcentral is "drz-agam-1 ribozyme". It matches the Rfam family "drz-agam-1 ribozyme". Lineage: Eukaryota; Metazoa; Arthropoda; Insecta; Diptera; Culicidae. The record is from Rfam by way of RNAcentral.
UGCCCAGCAACUCAUAUCCCUACCUCCUCGUGGUACUGGCCGGGGUACGAGUAACCUUGGGGAAGAUCGGGUAACCAACUCCGAUGGGAACUUUGGUCGUAUGCUGACAGGGAAAA